AGAGUUUGAUCCUGGCUCAGAACGAACGCUGGCGGCGUGCCUAACACAUGCAAGUCGAACGGAUUUGAGGGGCUUGCUCCUCAAGUUAGUGGCGCACGGGUGAGUAACGCGUAGAUAAUCUGCCUGAUGAUCUGGGAUAACACUUCGAAAGGGGUGCUAAUACCGGAUAAGCCCACGGGGUCUUUGGAUUCUGCGGGAAAAGGGGGGGACUUUCGGGCCUUCUGUCAUCAGAUGAGUCUGCGUACCAUUAGCUAGUUGGUAGGGUAAUGGCCUACCAAGGCUACGAUGGUUAGCUGGUUUGAGAGAAUGAUCAGCCACACUGGAACUGAGACACGGUCCAGACUCCCACGGGAGGCAGCAGUGGGGAAUUUUGCGCAAUGGGCGAAAGCCUGACGCAGCAACGCCGCGUGAGUGAUGAAGGCUUUCGGGUCGUAAAGCUCUGUCGAGGGGAAAGAAGUGUAUUGUGGCUAAUAUCCACGAUACUUGACGGUACCCCUAAAGGAAGCACCGGCUAACUCCGUGCCAGCAGCCGCGGUAAUAC
RNAcentral lists this ribosomal RNA (541 nucleotides) under uncultured Geobacter sp. RNAcentral's name for it is "bacterial SSU rRNA". It matches the Rfam family "Bacterial small subunit ribosomal RNA", at positions 8 to 526 of the family's 1533-position model. The record is from RNAcentral. Lineage: Bacteria; Pseudomonadati; Thermodesulfobacteriota; Desulfuromonadia; Geobacterales; Geobacteraceae.